Molecule: ribosomal RNA, 484 nt
Filed under: uncultured bacterium
Lineage: Bacteria
Description: partial 16S ribosomal RNA
Rfam family: Bacterial small subunit ribosomal RNA
Source: RNAcentral
GACGAACGCUGGCGGCGUGCUUAACACAUGCAAGUCGAACGAUGAAGCCGGAGCUUGCUCUGGUGAAUUAGUGGCGAACGGGUGAGUAACACGUGAGUAACCUGCCCUUGACUCUGGGAUAACUGCGGGAAACUGUAGCUAAUACCGGAUACGACCCUCGGAGGCAUCUCCUGGGGGUGGAAAGAAUUUCGGUCAAGGAUGGACUCGCGGCCUAUCAGCUAGUUGGUGAGGUAAAGGCUCACCAAGGCGACGACGGGUAGCCGGCCUGAGAGGGUGACCGGCCACACUGGGACUGAGACACGGCCCAGACUCCUACGGGAGGCAGCAGUGGGGAAUAUUGCACAAUGGGCGCAAGCCUGAUACAGCAACGCCGCGUGAGGGAUGACGGCCUUCGGGUUGUAAACCUCUUUUAGCAGGGAAGAGGCGAAAGUGACGGUACCUGCAGAAAAAGCACCGGCUAACUACGUGCCAGCAGCCGCCGUAA